Gracilinanus agilis (Agile Gracile Mouse Opossum) is the source of this 104-nucleotide small nuclear RNA. Lineage: Eukaryota; Metazoa; Chordata; Mammalia; Didelphimorphia; Didelphidae. The record is from RefSeq and is a predicted model, not a curated record.
CUGUUUUAGCAACACGUAUACUAAAAUUAUAAGGAUGCAAAGAAGAUUAGUAUCAUUCCUGAAAAAAGGAUCAGAUUCAAAUUAAUAAAAUAUCUCAUAUUUUU